Long non-coding RNA from Pseudopipra pipra, 752 nucleotides. RefSeq lists it as uncharacterized. The transcript is spliced from 2 exons. NCBI's taxonomy places the organism in Eukaryota, Metazoa, Chordata, Aves, Passeriformes, Pipridae. The record is from RefSeq and is a predicted model, not a curated record.
GGCUGGGGACGGGCACCAAUUCAUCACUGCCCUGCUCAGGGAGGUUUUCCGGCCCCGUCCGGGCUUCACCCAACGGCUGCAAAGGUGCUCGUGCGGCAUCCGAGCUCAUUUCCAGGGAUAAAGGAGCCAAACGAGUCCGGAGGGAUCCCUCGCUCCGAGGCAAAGGCGUUUGGUCGAGUGUCGCCGCCUGGUCCCGCCUGCGGGGGAGCGUCUCCUCCAGGUUCUCUUAGAAAGAUCCUGGACAGGAACUCAGACAACAGAACCCAAACACUGCACAAGCAAUAGCAGAAGGUUUGCCAGGAAGAACAGAAGUUCCUUGUUUUCCUUAACGCUCUGGGACUGUAGGACCCAAUCUUUGCAACCAAGGGACACCAGAGAUGUGAUUAAUACUUAAACCUCUCCCCCAUGGUUCUGUCUCAGAGAACUGGGCCAGCCCUGAGCUACUCCCAGGUGCCUGCAGUGCUUUGGGGAGGGGCAGGACAAUGUCCCACUUCUGCUUGGAAACAUUCCAGAUGAGGAAAAGCCACUUCCCUUCUCUCUCUCUGACCCAGAACCAGAACAGUCCUGUGGGACAACACGGACUAUGCACGGAAGGCCCGAGUCAGUGGGGGGAAAAAAACCUAAACAAACCAAACCACCCCAAAUUUCAAGAUCAAAACAGGCUGCUUCCUUAACAGGAGCACACCAAACUCAUUGAAGCCAGAGAGGAAAUUACAAACAAACAGAAGACCCAAAGAGAUGCUUUGCACUGA